This 386-nucleotide ribosomal RNA is filed under the name uncultured organism. Its description in RNAcentral is "bacterial SSU rRNA". It matches the Rfam family "Bacterial small subunit ribosomal RNA", at positions 45 to 433 of the family's 1533-position model. The record is from RNAcentral.
GGCUUAACACAUGCAAGUCGAGGGGUAUAGUUCUUCGGAACUAGAGACCGGCGCACGGGUGCGUAACGCGUAUGCAAUCUACCUUUUACAGAGGGAUAGCCCAGAGAAAUUUGGAUUAAUACCUCAUAGUAUGUGAGAAUGGCAUCAUCUUCACAUUAAAGUUCCAACGGUAAAAGAUGAGCAUGCGUCCCAUUAGCUAGAUGGUAAGGUAACGGCUUACCAUGGCGACGAUGGGUAGGGGUCCUGAGAGGGAGAUCCCCCACACUGGUACUGAGACACGGACCAGACUCCUACGGGAGGCAGCAGUGAGGAAUAUUGGACAAUGGGCGCAAGCCUAAUCCAGCCAUGCCGCGUGCAGGAUGACGGUCCUAUGGAUUGUUAACUGC